RNAcentral lists this ribosomal RNA (844 nucleotides) under uncultured Bacillota bacterium. Its description in RNAcentral is "bacterial SSU rRNA". It matches the Rfam family "Bacterial small subunit ribosomal RNA", at positions 29 to 869 of the family's 1533-position model. The record is from RNAcentral. Lineage: Bacteria; Bacillati; Bacillota.
UUGAACGCUGGCGGCGUGCCUAACACAUGCAAGUCGAACGAAGCUUGACGGAUGAUUUCUUCGGAAUGAAACCUGAUAUGACUUAGUGGCGGACGGGUGAGUAACACGUGAGCAACCUGCCUUUCAGAGGGGGAUAACGGCUGGAAACGGUCGCUAAUACCGCAUGAUGUGUUCGGAUGGCAUCAUCUGAACAUCAAAGAUUUAUCGCUGAAAGAUGGGCUCGCGUCUGAUUAGAUAGUUGGUGGGGUAACGGCCUACCAAGUCGACGAUCAGUAGCCGGACUGAGAGGUUGAACGGCCACAUUGGGACUGAGAUACGGCCCAGACUCCUACGGGAGGCAGCAGUGGGGAAUAUUGCACAAUGGGGGAAACCCUGAUGCAGCAACGCCGCGUGAAGGAUGACGGUUUUCGGAUUGUAAACUUCUUUUCUUAGUGACGAAGACAGUGACGGUAGCUAUGGAAUAAGCAUCGGCUAACUACGUGCCAGCAGCCGCGGUAAUACGUAGGAUGCAAGCGUUAUCCGGAUUUACUGGGUGUAAAGGGAGCGCAGGCGGGACUGCAAGUUGGAUGUGAAAUACCGUGGCUUAACCACGGAACUGCAUCCAAAACUGUAGUUCUUGAGUGAAGUAGAGGCAAGCGGAAUUCCGAGUGUAGCGGUGAAAUGCGUAGAUAUUCGGAGGAACACCAGUGGCGAAGGCGGCUUGCUGGGCUUUAACUGACGCUGAGGCUCGAAAGUGUGGGGAGCAAACAGGAUUAGAUACCCUGGUAGUCCACACUGUAAACGAUGAUAGCUAGGUGUGGGGGGUCUGACCCCUUCCGUGCCGGAGUUAACGCAAUAAGCUAUC